This 1306-nucleotide ribosomal RNA is filed under the name metagenome. Its description in RNAcentral is "SSU rRNA". It matches the Rfam family "Eukaryotic small subunit ribosomal RNA", at positions 483 to 1783 of the family's 1831-position model. The record is from RNAcentral.
AUACCGGGCCUUUUUGGGCUUGGUAAUUGGAAUGAGGGAGAGUUAAACGGACCAUCGAGUAUCCAUUGGAGGGCAAGUCUGGUGCCAGCAGCUGCGGUAAUACCAGCUCCAAUAGCGUAUAUUAAAGUUGUUGCAGUUAAAAAGCUCGUAGUUGGACUUGUGUGCGCUGUCCGCGGGUGGCCUGCGCCCAAAAGGGCGUUUCGGUUCGGCCCCGGUGGCGCCUUGAAAUCUGCAGCUGGGGGGACGUUGGCCUUAACUGGUCGGCGACCGCACGCCGGCUGCUCGUUACUGUGAGAAAAUUAGAGUGUUCAAGGCAGGCAUUGGGUGCAAUUGAAUACAUUAGCAUGGAAUAAUAAAAUAUGGCUCCUGCCGUAUUUUGUUGGUUUUGACUGGUGGGAGUAAUGAUUGAUAGGGACGGUUGGGGGUGCUAGUAUUGAGCGGCCAGAGGUGAAAUUCAUGGAUUCGCUCAAGACUAACUUAUGCGAAAGCAUUCACCAAGGACGUCCUCUUUAAUCAAGAACGAAAGUUGGGGGAUCGAAGACGAUCAGAUACCGUCGUAGUCUCAACCAUAAACUAUGUCGACUUGGGAUCGGCGGUAGUUUUUUCAUUAAGACACUGUCGGGACCACGGGAGAAAUCAAAGUGUCUGGACUCUGGGGGAAGUAUGGUCGCAAGGCUGAAACUUGAAGGAAUUGACGGAAGGGCACCACCAGGAGUGGAGCCUGCGGCUUAAUUUGACCCAACACGGGGAAACUUACCAGGUCCAGAGAUGUAGAGGAUUGACAGAUUGAAGCUCUUUCUUGAUCACUUCGGUGGUGGUGCAUGGCCGUUCUUAGUUGGUGGAGUGAUUUGUCUGGUUAAUUCCGUUAACGAACGAGACCUCAGCCUGCUAGUGUAGUCGGCUGGAUUGCCUUUGGCGAUCCGUGAUUUCGACUUCUUAGAGGGACAAUCGACGCGCAGUCGAUGGAAGUUUGAGGCAAUAACAGGUCUGUGAUGCCCUUAGAUGUUCUGGGCCGCACGCGCGCUACACUGCUGGGCUCAGCGAGUUUUACUUGGCCGAGAGGCCCGGUUAAUCUUGUGAAAUCCCAGCGUGCUUGGGCUCGCCUCCUGCAACUGGAGGCGCCAACGAGGAAUUCCUAGUAGACGCAGGUCAUCAACCUGCAUCGAUUACGUCCCUGCCCUUUGUACACACCGCCCGUCGUUCCAUAAGAGUGAGGCAUCCGGUGAAUUCUCGGGAGAGCCUGGGCGUGGCCAGCAAUGGUCUGCUCGGGUUUGAACUUGCAUAAACUUGGUGCCUAUGAUUAGGG